This 1624-nucleotide ribosomal RNA is filed under the name Staphylococcus epidermidis. RNAcentral's name for it is "partial 23S ribosomal RNA". It matches the Rfam family "Bacterial large subunit ribosomal RNA", at positions 1176 to 2802 of the family's 2925-position model. The record is from RNAcentral. Lineage: Bacteria; Bacillati; Bacillota; Bacilli; Caryophanales; Staphylococcaceae.
CGGGGCUAAACAUAUUACCGAAGCUGUGGAUUGUCCUUUGGACAAUGGUAGGAGAGCGUUCUAAGGGCGUCGAAGCAUGAUCGCAAGGACAUGUGGAGCGCUUAGAAGUGAGAAUGCCGGUGUGAGUAGCGAAAGACGGGUGAGAAUCCCGUCCACCGAUUGACUAAGGUUUCCAGAGGAAGGCUCGUCCGCUCUGGGUUAGUCGGGUCCUAAGCUGAGGCCGACAGGCGUAGGCGAUGGAUAACAGGUUGAUAUUCCUGUACCACCUAGUAUCGUUUUAAUCGAUGGGGGGACGCAGUAGGAUAGGCGAAGCGUGCUGUUGGAGUGCACGUCCAAGCAGUAAGGCUGAGUGUUAGGCAAAUCCGGCACUCAUAAGGCUGAGCUGUGAUGGGGAGAGGAAAUUGUUUCCUCGAGUCGUUGAUUUCACACUGCCGAGAAAAGCCUCUAGAUAGAUAACAGGUGCCCGUACCGCAAACCGACACAGGUAGUCAAGAUGAGAAUUCUAAGGUGAGCGAGCGAACUCUCGUUAAGGAACUCGGCAAAAUGACCCCGUAACUUCGGGAGAAGGGGUGCUCUUUAGGGUUCACGCCCAGAAGAGCCGCAGUGAAUAGGCCCAAGCGACUGUUUAUCAAAAACACAGGUCUCUGCUAAACCGUAAGGUGAUGUAUAGGGGCUGACGCCUGCCCGGUGCUGGAAGGUUAAGAGGAGUGGUUAGCUUCUGCGAAGCUACGAAUCGAAGCCCCAGUAAACGGCGGCCGUAACUAUAACGGUCCUAAGGUAGCGAAAUUCCUUGUCGGGUAAGUUCCGACCCGCACGAAAGGCGUAACGAUUUGGGCACUGUCUCAACGAGAGACUCGGUGAAAUCAUAGUACCUGUGAAGAUGCAGGUUACCCGCGACAGGACGGAAAGACCCCGUGGAGCUUUACUGUAGCCUGAUAUUGAAAUUCGGCACAGCUUGUACAGGAUAGGUAGGAGCCUUUGAAACGUGAGCGCUAGCUUACGUGGAGGCGUUGGUGGGAUACUACCCUAGCUGUGUUGGCUUUCUAACCCGCACCACUUAUCGUGGUGGGAGACAGUGUCAGGCGGGCAGUUUGACUGGGGCGGUCGCCUCCUAAAAGGUAACGGAGGCGCUCAAAGGUUCCCUCAGAAUGGUUGGAAAUCAUUCAUAGAGUGUAAAGGCAUAAGGGAGCUUGACUGCGAGACCUACAAGUCGAGCAGGGUCGAAAGACGGACUUAGUGAUCCGGUGGUUCCGCAUGGAAGGGCCAUCGCUCAACGGAUAAAAGCUACCCCGGGGAUAACAGGCUUAUCUCCCCCAAGAGUUCACAUCGACGGGGAGGUUUGGCACCUCGAUGUCGGCUCAUCGCAUCCUGGGGCUGUAGUCGGUCCCAAGGGUUGGGCUGUUCGCCCAUUAAAGCGGUACGCGAGCUGGGUUCAGAACGUCGUGAGACAGUUCGGUCCCUAUCCGUCGUGGGCGUAGGAAAUUUGAGAGGAGCUGUCCUUAGUACGAGAGGACCGGGAUGGACAUACCUCUGGUGUACCAGUUGUCGUGCCAACGGCAUAGCUGGGUAGCUAUGUAUGGACGGGAUAAGUGCUGAAAGCAUCUAAGCAUGAAGCCCCCCUCAA